AGUGAACGCUAGCGGUAGGCCUAACACAUGCAAGUCGAACGGCAGCACAGUAAGAGCUUGCUCUUACGGGUGGCGAGUGGCGGACGGGUGAGGAAUACAUCGGAAUCUACUUUUUCGUGGGGGAUAACGUAGGGAAACUUACGCUAAUACCUCAUACGACCUACGGGUGAAAGCAGGGGAUCUUCGGACCUUGCGCGAUUGAAUGAGCCGAUGUCGGAUUAGCUAGUUGGCGGGGUAAAGGCCCACCAAGGCGACGAUCCGUAGCUGGUCUGAGAGGAUGAUCAGCCACACUGGAACUGAGACACGGUCCAGACUCCUACGGGAGGCAGCAGUGGGGAAUAUUGGACAAUGGGCGCAAGCCUGAUCCAGCCAUACCGCGUGGGUGAAGAAGGCAUUCGGGUUGUAAAGCCCUUUUGUUGGGAAAGAAAAGCAGCAGGUUAAUACCCCGCUGUUCUGACGGUACCCAAAGAAUAAGCACCGGCUAACUUCGUG
Molecule: ribosomal RNA, 492 nt
Filed under: uncultured bacterium
Lineage: Bacteria
Description: partial 16S ribosomal RNA
Rfam family: Bacterial small subunit ribosomal RNA
Source: RNAcentral